GGAUGAACGCUAGCGGCAGGCUUAACACAUGCAAGUCGAGGGGUAACAGGAGGUGCUUGCACUUCGCUGACGACCGGCGCACGGGUGCGUAACGCGUAUACAAUUUGCCUUAUACAGGGGGAUAGCCUUUAGAAAUGAAGAUUAAUACCCCAUAGUACAUUAGAAUCGCCUGAUUUUAAUGUUAAAGAUUUAUCGGUAUAAGAUGAGUAUGCGUUCUAUUAGCUAGAUGGUAAGGUAACGGCUUACCAUGGCAACGAUAGAUAGGGGUCCUGAGAGGGAGAUCCCCCACACUGGUACUGAGACACGGACCAGACUCCUACGGGAGGCAGCAGUGAGGAAUAUUGGGCAAUGGAGGCAACUCUGACCCAGCCAUGCCGCGUGAAGGAAGACGGCCCUAUGGGUUGUAAACUUCUUUUAUAGAGGAAGAAACCCUCCCACGUGUGGGAGGCUGACGGUACUCUACGAAUAAGCACCGGCUAACUCCGUGCCAGCAGCCGCGGUAAUACGGAGGGUGCAAGCGUUAUCCGGAAUCAUUGGGUUUAAAGGGUCCGUAGGCGGGCAAUUAAGUCAGAGGUGAAAUCCCACAGCUCAACUGUGGAACUGCCUUUGAUACUGGUUGUCUUGAGUUAUAUUGAAGUGAGUAGAAUAUGUAGUGUAGCGGUGAAAUGCUUAGAUAUUACAUAGAAUACCGAUUGCGAAGGCAGCUCACUAAGUAUAUACUGACGCUGAUGGACGAAAGCGUGGGGAGCGAACAGGAUUAGAUACCCUGGUAGUCCACGCCGUAAACGAUGGAUACUAGUUGUUUGGAUUUAUCUGAGUGACUAAGCGAAAGUGAUA
RNAcentral lists this ribosomal RNA (837 nucleotides) under uncultured Flavobacteriaceae bacterium. RNAcentral describes it as "bacterial SSU rRNA". It matches the Rfam family "Bacterial small subunit ribosomal RNA", at positions 27 to 862 of the family's 1533-position model. Lineage: Bacteria; Pseudomonadati; Bacteroidota; Flavobacteriia; Flavobacteriales; Flavobacteriaceae. The record is from RNAcentral.